RNAcentral lists this small RNA (495 nucleotides) under Pan troglodytes (chimpanzee). Its description in RNAcentral is "processed transcript". Lineage: Eukaryota; Metazoa; Chordata; Mammalia; Primates; Hominidae. The record is from RNAcentral.
GCUUGAAAAGGAAUACACUACAAUAAAAACGAAAGAAAUGGAAGAGCAAGUUGAAAUUAAAAGGUUACGCACAGAAAAUAGACUUUUAAAACAGCGCAUCGAGACAUUAGAAAAACAUAAAUGCAGUUCCAACUACAACGAAGAUUUUGUGCUACAGCUAGAGAAGGAAUUGGUCCAAGCCCGACUGAGUGAAGCUGAGUCUCAGUGUGCAUUAAAAGAGAUGCAGGAUAAAGUCUUGGAUAUAGAGAAGAGGAAUAACUCCCUUCCUGAUGAGAAUAAUAUUGCAAGGCUUCAGGAAGAACUCAUUGCUGUGAAACUUAGAGAAGCAGAAGCCAUUAUGGGUUUGAAAGAACUUAGACAGCAAGUCAAGGAUUUAGAGGAACACUGGCAGGUAUAUUAAUAUAUUUUGUGUGCUUUUUUAAAAGAGAGUAAAACCGAAAUAUCCAAUUUGUAAGAGUUUGAAGUACCUGAUGACCUACAGUAGAUGAGUUUAAA